UCCGCCAAGCAGUUACAGUCUGAUCACUGG
This 30-nucleotide non-coding RNA is filed under the name Rattus norvegicus (Norway rat). The record is from RNAcentral. Lineage: Eukaryota; Metazoa; Chordata; Mammalia; Rodentia; Muridae.